This 74-nucleotide transfer RNA is filed under the name Pelobium manganitolerans. It matches the Rfam family "tRNA". Rfam says of the family: Transfer RNA (tRNA) molecules are approximately 80 nucleotides in length. Their secondary structure includes four short double-helical elements and three loops (D, anti-codon, and T loops). The record is from Rfam by way of RNAcentral. Lineage: Bacteria; Pseudomonadati; Bacteroidota; Sphingobacteriia; Sphingobacteriales; Sphingobacteriaceae.
GGCGGGGUAGCUCAGAUGGUUAGAGCGUAGGAUUCAUAACCCUAAGGCCGGCAGUUCGAUCCUGCUCCCCGCUA